RNAcentral lists this ribosomal RNA (475 nucleotides) under uncultured organism. RNAcentral describes it as "partial 16S ribosomal RNA". It matches the Rfam family "Bacterial small subunit ribosomal RNA", at positions 333 to 800 of the family's 1533-position model. The record is from RNAcentral.
ACACUCCUGCGGGAGGCAGCAGUAGGGAAUCUUCCACAAUGGGUGCAAACCUGAUGGAGCAAUGCCGCGUGAGUGAAGAAGGUCUUCGGAUCGUAAAGCUCUGUUGUUAGAGAAGAACACGUGCUAGGUAACUACUAGCGCCUUGACGGUAUCUAACCAGAAAGUCACGGCUAACUACGUGCCAGCAGCCGCGGUAAUACGUAGGUGACAAGCGUUGUCCGGAUUUAUUGGGCGUAAAGGGAGCGCAGGCGGUCUGUUUAGUCUAAUGUGAAAGCCCACGGCUUAACCGUGGAACGGCAUUGGAAACUGACAGACUUGAAUGUAGAAGAGGAAAAUGGAAUUCCAAGUGUAGCGGUGGAAUGCGUAGAUAUUUGGAGGAACACCAGUGGCGAAGGCGAUUUUCUGGUCUAACAUUGACGCUGAGGCUCGAAAGCGUGGGGAGCGAACAGGAUUAGAAACCCGGGUAGUCCCAUGA